RNAcentral lists this ribosomal RNA (857 nucleotides) under Metarhizium majus. RNAcentral's name for it is "LSU rRNA". It matches the Rfam family "Eukaryotic large subunit ribosomal RNA", at positions 56 to 936 of the family's 3401-position model. The record is from RNAcentral. Lineage: Eukaryota; Fungi; Ascomycota; Sordariomycetes; Hypocreales; Clavicipitaceae.
GAAAAGAAACCAACAGGGAUUGCCCCAGUAACGGCGAGUGAAGCGGCAACAGCUCAAAUUUGAAAUCUGGUCCCCAGGGCCCGAGUUGUAAUUUGCAGAGGAUGCUUUUGGUGAGGUGCCUUCCGAGUUCCCUGGAACGGGACGCCAUAGAGGGUGAGAGCCCCGUCUGGUUGGAUACCGAGCCUCUGUAAAGCUCCUUCGACGAGUCGAGUAGUUUGGGAAUGCUGCUCUAAAUGGGAGGUAUAUGUCUUCUAAAGCUAAAUAUUGGCCAGAGACCGAUAGCGCACAAGUAGAGUGAUCGAAAGAUGAAAAGCACUUUGAAAAGAGGGUUAAAUAGUACGUGAAAUUGUUGAAAGGGAAGCACUUAUGACCAGACUUGGCCCCGGUGAAUCAUCCAGCGGUUCCCGCUGGUGCACUUUGCCGGGGUUCAGGCCAGCAUCAGUUCGCUCCGGGGGAUAAAGGCUUUGGGAAUGUGGCUCCCUCGGGAGUGUUAUAGCCCAUUGCGUAAUACCUUGUGGCGGGCUGAGGUUCGCGCUUUAUGCAAGGAUGCUGGCAUAAUGGUCAUCAGUGACCCGUCUUGAAACACGGACCAAGGAGUCGUCUUCGUAUGCGAGUGUUCGGGUGUUAAACCCCUACGCGUAAUGAAAGUGAACGCAGGUGAGAGCCCUCCAGGGCGCAUCAUCGACCGAUCCUGAUGUUCUCGGAUGGAUUUGAGUAAGAGCAUACGGGGCCGGACCCGAAAGAAGGUGAACUAUGCCUGUAUAGGGUGAAGCCAGAGGAAACUCUGGUGGAGGCUCGCAGCGGUUCUGACGUGCAAAUCGAUCGUCAAAUAUGGGCAUGGGGGCGAAAGACUAAUC